AGCUUUGCGCAGUGGCGAUAUCGUAGCCCAUGAGGUUUAUCCAAGGCGCUAUUAUUGCUAGUUGAAAACUUUACCCAAAAAAAGGUGCUGGUGCAUCCCCUGGAGCUAGUUAAUGGCGGCCGUUUGCAUACAUACGC
Small nuclear RNA from Lampris incognitus (smalleye Pacific opah), 137 nucleotides. RefSeq annotates it as U4 spliceosomal RNA. NCBI's taxonomy places the organism in Eukaryota, Metazoa, Chordata, Actinopteri, Lampriformes, Lampridae. The record is from RefSeq and is a predicted model, not a curated record. The transcript has a single exon.